AACUAAUAGUUAAGCCUAAACCAACGCAAAGGAACCCUAGGAUUAUUCACAGCCACCACCCAAGAAUAGAGGAGGGAAGAGCAUCAAGCUCUGGCGAAGGCACUGCACUUGGCAAACGACAUCCACAGCACCCAAGGAAGGUCAUGACAUUGUUAAAACCCUGAAAAGAAACACCAAGGUUAUCGCCAACUCUACUAUGUACUCCAGACGAAGAGGAGCCAAAGUCGAACAAAAAAGAAAACACAAUAGGCAACCACCAAAUAUUAGAUCUUGUGUGAUAACACCAAAUGCCAUCAAAAAAAUAGAUCCAACAAAAACUUGGAUGGGUACUGAUGAAGAAAGCAUAGAAAACAAUGGGGUCCAUUAGAACGAAAGAGAGGAAAUUGACGUCCUUCACUAAAAGGAAACUGCGAACAAGAGAAAGAAAGGUCUAGAAUGGUAGAGAAAAGGACCUCCUAUGAUAAAAGCCACUACUCUUUUGUCAGCGACCUAAAGCGAUGAACAAAAAGAAUAAAGCUUGGACUAUCAUACCUAAAAGAAAACAAAUGAAAGAACACAUAAGAUCUAUGGUGGAAGGGUGAGAAAAAUCAACCCAGAGGCUCGUUGACGCCUCACAAAGAUACCAAAGUUAAAGCUUGGAGAAGGGAUGGAACUUUUUCUAGAUAUUUCUAGAAAGAAGGGAGAGGAUUUCCCUUAGAAAGAGAAAAUAAUAUAGUUUAUAAUUCUUUUUAGUUGACUUUAAAUUUGUUUUAUUAUGUAUAACUUGUUUAAAAAUUGUUAAAGUAUCUUUGAUUUAGUAUCUAACAUGUUAGGAAGCAUUUAGGAGCAUGAUUGCAUGGCUUGAACUAUCUUCUUUUUUUUUUGCAUUUCUAGGCUUUUGUCUGGAGAUAGUACAAACUUGUCUUGAGAUAGAUAAAGCAUUUUUGCUUAAACAUGAAUUUUCUGGGUCCAUGCCUCGAGACAUGAAAGGACAAGUCUCGAGGCAAUACGAGUUAGUAUCUAAAAUUCGAUUUCAAGUAAGCUUUUCAAAAUCGGACUAAUGGUCGAAUGGAUCAUGCCAUCAGUUCACCAGUCCAAUCGAUUUGAAUGGUUUCAUUGACCUAAAUGAUUUGAUUAAGUAAAUCAUUAAAAUUAUUAACAAAUAAAAUAAUAUUAAAAAUUGGUUCAAUCUAUUCAACUUCCUAUUUAAUUUAUUUUUGGCCUAGUUAAACCAAUCCAUAUUGGUUCUUGACUCAAUUGGUCUAAGCCUUUCUCUAGACCGAUUGCCCGACCAAUUCUCAAUCCAACUGGUUUGAUUGGUUAGUCUGGUUCAGAUAACAUUGGUUCCAAGGAUCACAAGUCUUGAGACAUGGACCCUAUGCCUUAAGACAUCAGACCUUUUUCGAUACUUUUGGCCUAAUGAUUCAGAUUGGCUCAUUGUUUGACCAAAUUUAAUACCAUAACAUUGUAUGAUGGCCUAUUUAAGCUCAUAUAUUUUUUAUAAUGAUCAUUGAUGCACGAAUAUGAUAUUUUUAUAUUUUAUAACUCAUUUUUAAAAUAUGUUUUAUUUGUAUGAUGGAUCAAAUAGGUUGCAUUAGCAACGAAUGUAACAUUCUUUAACUAACCAGGCUUCCAGACCAUGUAAGGAAUGUUAUAUAAUAUAUAUUAAAAUUUGAUAGUAAUUAGAAUAUAAAAUAUCCAAUUAAUAGAAAUUCAAUAAAAAUAAUUUAUUGUUAAAACUAAAAACAUGUUCAUCAUCAAUACUCAAGAACAUAGAUUAUAGUCGAUAUGUGUUAAUGGUUACAGAGACAAAUUUCUAUUUGUUAAUAACUAUGUGUAGCUGUCACGGAGCUAAAACUUUAGUCUCACAAUCCGUGCGACCUUAGGCGAUUCCCUCGUCUCAAACACACCUAAGUUAGCCUAACCACCAACAAUUGGAGAUUCACAUAGAAAAUCCUCUAACACACCAAUUUGUAUAGCAAAAGCAACACAAAGCCAAAAAAGUGCUCUAUGAACAGAAUCGUCACAGAAAAACUAUGCAUGAGAGGUGUUUGAGUAUAUGCUCUCAAUUCUAUUCACUUUCAAAGAAUACAAAAACAGAAGAUUAAUGGAUGAUUUACAACUGAGGAAAGGCUCUCUAUUUGUAGUUGAGCUCCCCCAAAACUGACGAUAUAGAUCGAAUUACAUCAACAGACGAGAUGAAAUCUAUCCCUACAAUCAAGGGAUUUACCAGAUUAUAUAAUCUAAUCUAAUAUAAUCUUACAAGAUGUUAUUCUAUUCAAUCUUCUAAGAUUAGUUCCCUAUUUAUCAAGGUAACCUAACUUUCCAUAUCCGUAUCAUUGGGCCACCCAAGCUUCAAAUAUAGGCUUCUUCAACAGUUCUUUGAAUCGGGUCAAUUUUCGUGGGUUAAAUGAUCCCCAUUUAAACGAUAAACCUCCACGGGAGCAGAGGCAAAGCUAGAAAAUUUUUUUAAGGGGGCCGGAUGAAAUUUUAAUUUUUUAUAGUUUAUAUUUUUAUAAUUUGUAAAGGAUUAAAUUAAAUUUUUAUAAUUUUAGGGGGGCCAAAGUAGAAUUUUACAUUUACUAAUUUAAAAUUUUUAAAAAAUUUCAAGGGCCUAAAAUGAAAUUUUUUAUUUUAGGGGGCCUGGACCCAUGCCAGCCCCCCUAGGUAUGCCCCUGCAUGGGAGGCUUUCUAUACGAUGGUCACGAGCUUUGAAUUGCGGCCCGUAACAUAGGUUCAAACCUUUUUAUUUUAUUAUGUCGACAGCAUGUUAUAUAAUAAUCAAAAUAAAUAAAAUACUAACAAGUAAACACUAAAUAACAAGCAAAAGGCACUAGAGAACUUUCUUGUAUAUUUCUUUUCACUUACAAGAGGCUCAUUUUAUAAGCCUUCUAACAUUUAGUUAAGUACAUAUAAAUGAACGCUUAAUUUCUUCAUUCAAACAUCCACUUUACUCUAGCAUUUUCCAAUCUCGUGAAUGAAUGGAAAGAGUUUUAUCUCAUAACUUAAUAGAAGGUUUUAAGAGGUUAUAGACAUCAACUUUUAAUAUAUUUAUAAUAGAAAAUUUUAUUUAAACUUCAUAAAAUUAAAAAUAUAUAUAAACUCUAGAAAUUUUUCAAUAAUUUAAAAAAUAUUUUUUUCAAUGAACUCAAAAAUAUACUCAAAAAUUCUAAAAAUUCUAAAAAAUAGUUAAAUAUUUGGAAAUUACUAAUUACGAAAGCUUAAAAUUCAUAUAUAUUAUAUUAGAGAAAUCUUAAUAACUUUAAAAAAUAUUUUUUUAAACUUAAAAAUAAAAUAUAUAAUUUCUAAAAAAAAUCUAUUUUUUUAUUCAACAACCUGUCAAAUUCAAUCAAGAAUUAGUCAUCCUUGAUCAACAACCAAUCAAACGGAGUUAGUUAAAGUCAACUGGGUCAAAAUCAACAAAGUUUUUCUAAAAUAUUUAAUUAUUUAAAUACUUUAUUUCUUUCAAUUUAUAUAUAUUAGAAUUAUUCAGAAAUUAUAUAUUUUUAAUUUCAAUAUACAUGGGUGCCACACAUUGUGUUUUAAUUGACCUUAGGUAUCACAUAACACAUUCUAUUAGGAGCCACAUGCCAACAAAUUGGGUAAUAAGAUAUAAAUUUAGUUAUCAAUCCAAACUAAAAAAUGUUUAGCUAGCAAAGUGAUAAAAAUGGUAUAAUUUUAUAGCCAAAUCAUGCAUUAAGCCUUAUAAUAAUAUUGAGUUGAUCGAGGUUAUUAAUUUGAGUCAAACUUAUGAAUUGGAAACAAAAAUACAUUAAGACUAUAUAUGAACUUUGGUUCAAUGUGUAAUUUGAUACAAAAACUUUGAUUUGGUGCAAUUAUACACAAUAAGCUUUGAAUGUGGUUCAAAUUAAUAAAUAAAAUUUUGAUUUUGAUACAAUUGUACUUUUUUAAAAAAAUAAAUACACCAAUUUAUUUUUAUAUUAGAUAAGUAUAGUUAUUUUUGUAUGCAAUAUACAAAAAUAAGUGAUGUUAUAUAGAGAAUGAUGUUAGUAGUUUGUAAAAACUGAAUCAAAUCCUAGAAAGAGAAAACAAUACAUAAAAAUAAUGUUUAUCUAAUUAGGUGUUGGUUCUUGUCUGUCGUUUGGCAUGUUUUUCAACUGCCGAUUGACACGUUUUUAGUCUUCCUCAAUAGGAGAAUAAUGCAGGAAGAGUUAGCUAAUCUGUACAUAAUUGACGUUGAAGAGGAACCUUUCUAGAUCCAGGGAGAAAUACAGGCGCUAUUUGAAUACUAUAAACUAUGUUUGGUGGGAAUCUAUUUGACGGUAAGCGUAGUGCAUUUUCCUUCAAUGAGGAACAAAAUGGCUGAUCUAUGGCACCCUUUAGAGGGCAUCUCCAUUACAGAUAUUGGUGACAAGCGAUGUUUAUCUUGAUUUUUCUAUGAGGUGGUCUAUGAGGUGGAUAUCAAUCAGUUGCUGGAGGAGACACCAUGGUUUUUUAAUAACCAUUUGCUUAUUCUCCACAAGUUUCAACCAAGGGAAGACUCAUUUAUGGCCCCGUUGAUUUAUGCGAAGUUCUACGUUUAGGUACAUAACUUGCCUCUAAGACUUAUGUCGGAGUCAGUGAGGCAGAAGUUUGGGAUUUUCUUAGGGACAUUUCUUGACUAUGAUGCGAAAAUGGUGGUGUCGGAAAUGAAAAGGUUUAUGAGUAUUAAAGCCAAACCGGAUGUCUGGCUUCUAUUGAAAUGCAAAAAAAGAAGAUUACUCUAGAGCUUAACCGUUUUUGUGUAUGCUAAAUUCCAGUAUGAAAAGAUUAGUUUGUUUUAUUUCACUUGUAGCAAGCUUGGGCACAGAGAAAGUUUUUGCCCAGCGAGGGUGACGGUGGAGCCAUCCAAGAUCACGUUUGGAUGGGAUAUUUCACUAAAAGCUCUAUGAAAAAUAGCACAGGUGUGAGCACAAGUUAGAGUUUGGAUAAGGAAAAGAGAAAGAUAAUGAGUAAUUUGAAGUGAGGAUUCAGGAAAUCCUUAUCAUAAUGCUAAUUUGAAUUUAUCAGUAUCCUCAAAAUCUCAGUUGUUUCUAUUUAAUAAAGGGUUGACAAUUUGGGAACCUGCCAUUAAUACUGUUGGACCUAAUGAUAUAGGGCUUAUGGAAUUGGGUUCAAAUAGCCCUUUUUCAUUUUCUGACGGAAAGAACAAGCAGCGCACGAUAGGCAAGAUACCAAUUUUUUCGGCCAAUGUUUAUUUUUUUUGAGGAAAUCAAUGACAUAUCGGUUGGCUCUAUGGUGCAAGACAAUUAGCCACAAUGAAAACCUUAAACUAGAAUGUUCAUGGUCUAAAGAAAUCACGGGCUGUGAAUCGUCUCAAGAAUAAACUGAGAGAUAUUCGUUCCUAAAUUUUGUUUCUUAUGGAAACAAAAAUCAGUGUGAGGAGAAUGGAAAGAGGUUGACGUAAAUGUGGUUUUGUUAAUGGAAUUAAUGUUGGUGCUAUUGGUUCUAGAGGUGGAUUGUUUCUAAGAUAGACGCAUGAUUGUGUGGUGAGCUUAAGAAGUUAUUCGCAAUACCACAUUGAUGCGGUAAUUCAUAAAGAUGAUGGUGAGUUAGUGUGACAAUUCAUUGGAUUUUACGGACAUCUUGAAGAUCAGUUGCGUAGUGAUCCUUGGAAUUUACUCAGACAUUUGGGUCAAGAUCAUUCAUUACCAUGGUUGGUAAUAGGCGACUUCAAUAAGAUAACGUAUUCUUUUCAAAACAUAUGUGAUCAUCUUCGAUCGAAACAAAAUAUGAAGGCUUUCAGAUCAACAUUAUAAGAUUUUGGUCUGAGUGACUUGGGGUUCUCGGGUUGUUGGCUCACUUGGGAAAGAGGUCGGUUGUCAAAAAAUAACAUUCGGGAAAGAUUAGAUAGAGGACUAGCUAAUACGGCUUAGUGGAAUACCUUUCUUGAUUAUCGAGUCCUGCAUUGGACUCACUCUUUUUCUGAUCAUUGCCCAAUGUUAAUGGACAAGUUAGGUCAAAAGUGUACCAUGAAUAAGAUGGGUCAGAUUCGAUGCCAAUUGGUGUUUGGAAGGGUCUUGUGAAGAGGUAAUUAGACAAUUUUGGUUAUAAUCUUCGGAAGCAUUACCUUUAAAAUUAGACAAGCUAGGUGAAAAUCUGCGAAAAUUGUGCAAGACAAUUAAAAAAGACGGGGAUGUUCGAAAGGAUAAAUUAGACGCUCGAAUAAAGGAACUAUAUAAGUGUGAACCUGAUGAAGACAUUCUUGCUGAACUAUUAGAAGUCCAAAUUAGCUUAAAUUUAAAAGUUGAUAAGGAGGAAUUGUUUUGUGAGCAGAGGAUGCAAAUCAAGUGGCUUCUAAAAGGAGAUAAAAACACUAUUUUCUUUCAAUUUUGCAUCAACUCAAAAAAGGAAAAAUAAAAUUUUGGGUAUUGAGAAUAAACAUGGUCGUUGGGUGUCAAAUAAAGAAGAACUUAUUAAGGUUGCCUCGAGUUAUUUUACAGAUUUGUUUACAGCUUCAAGUUUGGGGGAUGCAUCGUGUAUUUAUGCUAAUAUCCAACGAUGGGUUUCCCUGGAAAUGAAUAAGGAUUUUUUGACACCCUUUCAGACGAAGGAAGUAUGGGCUGCUGCACCUCUCAAGGCUUCAGGUAUUGAUGGUUUCCCUACUAUGUUUUAUAAAAAAAUUAUCAUAUUUUAGGGAAUAAGAUUACUACUAUGUUUUAUAAAAAAAAUUGUCAUAUUUCAGGUAUUGCUUGGUUAUGUUAAAUGGUGAGAUCGAUUUAGAAGAUAUUAAUAAGACUCGUAUUGUUUUAAUUCCGAAAAUCAGUAAACUAAAAAACAUGACUUAAUUUUGGCCAAUCAGUUUGUGGAAUGUGUUGUACAAAAUCUUUGCUAAAAUUAUUGCUUACAAAAUGUGGGGUGUUUUGGAGAGUUGCAUUGAUGAAACCUAAGAGGCUUUCAUCCUUGGUAGAUAGAUAUCUGAUAAUGUGCUUAUUUCUUAUGAGGUUUUGUAUUCUCUUAAGAUGAAGCGUUCAGGAGCAUUAGACACUUUUGCACUUAAGCUCGAUAUGAGCAAAGCGUAUGUUAGGGUAAAGUGGAAUUUUUUAUCUGGAAUGAUGGCAAGGUUGGGUUUCAUGAUCAUUGAAUUUCAUUGAUGAUGAGAUGUGUAACUUCAGUCUCUUAUACGGUGGGCAUUAACGAAGAAGUCAACGACAAGUUCCUACCUUUCAAGGGGCUACGACAAAAGGACCCACCUAAUCCUUAUUUAUUUCUAUUAUGUGCUAAGGGCUUUUCUACCAUUCUUAAUGAGGCUAAGGGUGUAAAUAAACAGCAUAUUCAAUGAACUGUUCGUGAACCAUUCGUAUAAUAUUCGUUUAUUAAACUAAAUAAACGAGUAUGAACAAAAAUUUUAUGUUCGUUUAAUAAACGAAUGAACACAAACAGAUGUGUGUUCAGUUCAUUUAUGUUCACGAGUAAGCUCAUUUAUUUAUUAAUGAAAUUUUUUUAUAAAAAUUCCAUUAGUAUAUAUUAAUAAAAUUAUCUUGGUUUGUAUUUUUUCAUUUAUAAUAUAAUUAUUAAUAUUUAUAUUUGACUAUUUUAUAUCUAAACAAUAUAUGUGUGUAUUUAUUGGUUGUUUAUUUGUUUGUUUAUUAUUUAUUAACUUUGCUCGUGAACAUGUUCAAUUAAGUUAAAUGAACAUGUUUGUGAACAAUAAACAAACGAACAUGAACAUACAUAAUUUUAAAUAAACGAACAUGAACAAAAAUUUGAAAUUCUUAAUGAACACAAACUGAACACAAACUAGCUUAAAAAUAAACAAACAAACAUGAACAAAGGUUUUUUUAUUCAAGCUCGGUUCAUUUAUAACCCUAAAUAAGGCUAGUAGAUCUGGUUUGAUAAAAGGGGCUCGAAUUGGAAAAGGAAGGUUGGCAAUCAACCAUCUGUUUUUUUCGAAUGAUUCCAUACUGUUCAGAGAUGUUUCAAUUACCGGUGCAAAGAAUAUAUGACAAAUUAUUUCAGAGUACGAAAAUGCUUCAGGCCAAAAGGUUAAUUAUGAUAAAUCCCUAAUUUAUGUCAGUUCGAAUAUGGAAAUUUCGAUUUGGGACCUCAUAGGUGGCGUUUCGGGAGUAUGAGUGUCGAAUAAUCCGGAGAAAUACCUAGGUUUACCUACAAUGGUUGGCAGACGUAAGAAAGUUGAAUGUUGUAGUAUAAGAUAUCUAUCUAUGGGUAGAAAAGAGAUGUUUAUUAAGGCGAUACUACAAGCUAUACCUCUAUAUAGAAUGCAAUGUUUUCUUCUACCUAAAAUUAUGUGUAGUAAACUAGAAAACAUUCUCAACAAAUUUUGGUGGAGAAACAACAAAUCAUCUAAUGGUAUUCAUUGUAGUACAUGGCAUUCACUCUAUUUACCAAAAGUUUGUGGAGGAUUAAGUUUCCGCGAUUUGACUAAGUUUAAUGGUGCUUUGCUAGCCAAACAAUGAUAGCGUAUUUUAUCUAAUCCAUUGAGUUUGUUGGCACAAGUAAUGAAGGCCAGGUAUUACUUGGAUUCAGAAUUUAUGAAUGCUCAGUUAAAUGCUUACCCAUCAUUUACCUGGAGAAAUAUUUGGAGUGCUCGAGGUUUAAUCGAAAAGGGAGUCGGUUGGAAAAUUGGCAUAGGUGAGAAUAUAAAUAUCUGGAAUGAUUCUUGAAUCCCUGGACCUAGAAAUGGAAGAAUACAAGGUCAGAACAUAGAUUUCAGGUACACAAAAGUAUCAAAAUUAAUUAAUCAUAAUUCCAAUACCUGGGUAGAAGAAAGAGUGAGACUCUUUUUUUAUGAAGACCAUGUAGAGAGAAUCCUAUGUAUUCCACUUGUCCAAUCAAAGCCAAUAAACGAAUUGGUGUGGAGACAUGAAGGUUUUGGUGAAUAUUCUUCAAAGAGUGGUUAUAGGCUUCUAGACAAGGAGUUACAAAACAAGGGUCUAUAUUCUACAGCCAUGCCUAAUUUAGUUACAACAUUCUACAUUAAUUUGUGGACACUACAACUCCGAACAAAAAUCAAGAUUAGAGUAUAGAGAUUCUCAAAAAAUUAUCUACCAACUUUUGAUAAUUUACAACGCAGAAAACUACAAGUUAAAAAUGUCUGUCCCUUGUGCAAUUCAGCUAAAAAAUCUAUUGACCAUUUGUUACGACACUGCUCUGUUUCCAAGAAAGUUCUGGACUCAUUGAAUGUUACGACUAUCCUUAUCUCACAUAAUUCAGAUUAUAAAACAUGGUUAGCAAAGGUUUUCAUGCAACCUAACACAAGAUUAGAGAAGUUAUCGGUGAUAUCUUACUGGGCAAUUUGGUUUGGUAUGCAUGAAAUAAGUUUGUUCAUGAGGGUGUUAGAUAAUCAGUGCAGGGUUUAACAGUGUUUAUUAAGGCACACCUAUUAGAGCUACAGGCUCUGGGUAAACUAAAUCCAUCAGUUUUUUCACCUAAACAGGAGAAAUGUGUGCCACCAGGUUCUGACAGUAUUAAACUUAAUUUUGAUGCAUCUUUUAGCCCUAAUACAAAAACUUCUAUCUCAAGAGUACUGGCUAGAAAUUCUUCAGGCCUUAUUAUGGUUGCAUGUACUUACCCCACCAUGGUGUUGCUGAUGCCUUCAUUGCCGAAGCACGGGCGUAUGAGUAGGCCAUCAUCUUUGUGGCUGAGUUAGGAUUUUGAUCAGUACAGAUGGAGGGCAAUUCACUUACUGCCACCAAGAAAUUGACUUCUCCUACACUAGACAAGUCUAUCAUUAGCCCGAUUGUUCAAGAUAUUAAGGCAAAAUUGGGGAUAAUUGCAAAAGUCACCUUUUGUUUUGCUGGAAGACAAGCCAACAUCAUUGCUCACGCACUGGCUGGAGAAGGUUGUCCAUUCUCGGUCCAGCGGUACUGGAUAGAGAAAGCGUCAUUUAUGGUGGAACGGGCGGCCAAAAGGGACUUGCAAAGAUGGUUUCAUCAGAAUUAAUCUGCACCUGACUGCUUUGGAAUUUGGAGAUUUUCUAAUCUUUUACCUCCAACUGGUUUCCAAAGCUUUUCUCUCUCUUUUGAUAUCAAUGGUUUGUUCGCAGACCAGAAUUUUGAAGCUUGGAUUGGAGAGAGUUUUUCGACUGGUUUUCAUCGGGUUAGGAGGAAAGCAAGGAAAGAGUUUUGAGUUUGUUUUUUUUUUUUUUUUCAGAUGGUAAUCUCUCCUUAUCUGUUGGUUGCCUUUUCAAAUCUUGGACAAUGUAUUGACGAGCCCGAGGGUU
Molecule: long non-coding RNA, 10162 nt
Filed under: Gossypium barbadense (sea-island cotton)
Lineage: Eukaryota; Viridiplantae; Streptophyta; Magnoliopsida; Malvales; Malvaceae
Description: long non-coding RNA (GBAR_LNC001989)
Source: RNAcentral